Long non-coding RNA from Maylandia zebra (zebra mbuna), 950 nucleotides. RefSeq lists it as uncharacterized. The record is from RefSeq and is a predicted model, not a curated record. Lineage: Eukaryota; Metazoa; Chordata; Actinopteri; Cichliformes; Cichlidae.
UGAAGUUAACAUUCCCAUACUGGUAACAUUGUUUAAAAGGUAUUUUUAAACUAAGUAGCUCUUUAUAGUUUCACUGAUGUCGAGUGAGGACAUGUUAGCAGCAUUUACCCAUAGGUUUAAUGGCAUUCCAGUAGCUACAUGCUAGCAGUUGCUAAAAGUUAAGAUGUUCGUUAUCUUCUCACUGCGUUAAUAUGAACCUAAAACAUUUUAACUAUGUAUUUCUUCUAAAUGCUGUCUAAAUAAUAUCAUUGUCACAUGUCAAAUCGCACAGUUUGAACAACUAAAUUACCGUUUAUCAGUAAGCUAAUAAUCGCUAAUUAGCUUACAUGAGCGAACAUACUUUCAGAAAAAGUGGGUAACAUUACCAUAAAGUUAACUUUACUGGUUUAUAUUAUUUUAAGCAAAUGCCAAAGGCAUACACUACUUUAGAGUUUUGCUCAUUAUUUAGUAAGAAAUAUGUAUUUUGUGUAAAUUAACUGAUAGCAAUGUUAAUGACAUGUUAAGUAAUAUUAAGUAAUGUUCCUAUUUUAUAGAAAGGUUUAAGAGUAUGGACAAACCAAAUCUCUGAGAGAUGCAACCAGAAGACGGAUGAGAAACAUACUUGAGGCUGAGAUGACAGAAUGACAUGGGACAUCUCCCCCUAAAAGCGUAAGAGUGAUGUAUGCGCAGGACAUUGUUGCUCUGUCUCCACAUCUGGAAGACCCAUAUUCACAACAUGGAUAUAAACAUUACUACGAUCCAGAGAACAGUUCAGGAUACAUUGCAUGGCGGUUGAAGACCAUUCAAAGAAAAGCUGUGGAGGAAAGAAGCGUCUCAGUUUGCAAAUCUCCCAAAAAUAGAACAAGAUUUCCGACUCCUGUUUUGUGAGGUCACUGGGAGCAAAUUCUUGGAGAGGUGGCUCACCAAUCUCAAAGCAAAGGUUGUAAAGGAAAGUCAUGGACUUGUCCCCA